This 4321-nucleotide long non-coding RNA is filed under the name Gallus gallus (chicken). RNAcentral's name for it is "lncRNA (ENSGALG00010023713.1)". Lineage: Eukaryota; Metazoa; Chordata; Aves; Galliformes; Phasianidae. The record is from RNAcentral.
GGAUGUUGGUGGUAUGGCAGUAGAGGUUUGUAGCAGAAAUGCUAAAUGACAGCUUGAAACUGACUGAGCACCUGGUGGGAAGGCAGGGCCAACCCAGGGGAGCUCAGCUGUAUGCAAUUUGUUCAAGUGACCAGAAGGGGUGGAACCAGGAUCCUCCCCUUCCCAUACCACAUUUAAGGGUUGGCAGUGGAAGCAAAGUUACCUUGUUGGAGGUUCUUGUCUUUGUGAGGCCUUGUGAAGUCAUCAAAUGAUUUGGGACCAUUUGGCUCCUACUCCACCUGGCCUACUGACAUCUGUUGGGAUCACGUGUUUGUUGUGGGACUGCUACUGAGAUGGUGACAACACCUGGAAGAAAAAGAAGGAAAGGAGAAAGCUACCUCUUCAAAAAGCAGAAUAAUCUCAUUGAUUAUCACUUUGAUGCAUUAUUUAUCAUAUAAGUGUAUACAGGUGGCCACUUUACCAGAUGGACUGCCAUUGCACAUGUGAAAUAGAAGUUGCUGAGUGAUUGCCUUUUUCCCUUCCUUGCUGUCUAGAAACUUACUUUCUUUAGCUGCCACAUGCACCAAUGGCAAGUAAGUAACUUGGCCUCCUGAACACAUCAUAUUAACAGAAACAGCCAAAGUAUUUAUGGAAGACGUGAAUGGAAGUUGGGAUGCAGAGAAGAAAACAACAACAGUGUGUCAUUGGACACAUUUUUCAACAUGAUUUAUGUGCUGGAACACAGGAACCUUAUUUGCUGAAAUGUUAUUUGAUAUUUGGAUCACCAAAAUAAUUCAUCAUUUGGAUAAACGUGAAUUGUUGCUAAGUUGCUUUUGGAAUCCCUAUAGUAGUGACCUGCAUAUCUGGGUGCCUGAAUACUUUUAUGAUUCAAAUCCCUGAAAACUUUCAUCUCCCAAACCUCUCAGGAGGCCUUCAUGCCUCGAGGGCAAAGCAUGGAUGCUGCUGAUAUUGUGCAGCCAUUCCAAAUAACAGUUUAGGAAAUAAACUGAAGAAUCUCAUUGUUAAUGGAACUUCAAAGGAAAUUCAGGCAAUGCAGAAUGGAGAAGGGAAGAGCAGAUAUUUUGUAUUUAUAGUAGACAGCUUAUCUGACAGAUUUAGCUCCUCUCGCUGCUUCAGCCCUACUUGUGAACAGCUUUCAUUCAUCUCAGAUGUUUUUGUUAUUCAAAAGCUCUUGGUCUGUAGAAUGUUCUCGAGCCGCUCCUUGUGAGUACUUAAUACAUGAAAGUAAAGAGUCAAACUGAUUCUUUGCUCUGAAUAAUUUCUAUGUAUUGCUUUGACUCAUCCACUUUCCUCAUCAUUUCAGAUCUCAGAGGAACACUUUUUCUAUUUCAUUCAUACAGUUUAAUUGCUCCCAACACUCUUUAUUGAUCUCUUUUUAUAUUGUAAUCCAUGUCUUUUCCAUCAUUUUCCCCCAUCCACUCCCCUCCUCUUCCUGGUCUAUUAUUAUUACUUGACUAAUUUUUUAGAAUUGUACUAUAAUUACUCAGAGCAGGCACUUGUUACUGUUGUGCAGAGCACUUUGCAAACAUGUCGUGUUGUAUAAAUAAGAAUUACAGCUACAGAAAUACUUAUACUGCAAAAUGGUUGAGAGACUAAUAUAUACCAGAGACACUCUAUGAAAUAGAAUUAUUUAUUAUAAUUAUCCCAUCUCUGGUACUGACAUUCAAAAGUAUUUUAGGUGAAUCACUCUCCUUCUCUAUUCUGUUUUUUUUUUUUUUUUUUAGCUGACUCAGACUUGCAAGAAAUGUUGGGGAAGUGAUAGCAUUGGUUUGUUUCUAGGCACUCUAGAAAUCUUUUGAAUAUAACAUCUACUUUCUUCUCCUGCUUUCUACUGGCGUACCUCUCAGCCUUUGAGUAAAGGAAAUGAGUUUUGUUUUACAGCUGGGGAAGCAAACACAGAAAAGUGAAACUGGGGCCCUUGGGGACACCUGAAGCAUGUCUGUGAGCACAGACCAAGUCUCCAGUGCUCUCAUCACCUGACAUUUUUAAUGGGCAAUGCUUUUCCACAAGGUAAGUUAUUGGACUGAGAAGGACUGUUAUGUGCAGUGUUGUAUGGCAGCUUUCUCUUCUCUGAAGUGAUGCUUGCAGUCUGUUAAACCUGGGAAAAUAAUGGAAAAUAGAGAUCCCUCCAAACCCUUCUGGAUUUGUAAUUUCUACAUAUGAAGUAUUUACUUUUCUUCUGCCCAGAAAUGAAGCCAAAAUAGAAACCUUAAGGGAUUCUCUUAUUUUUCCUAAGAAGGCAAACAAACCAAAUCUUACUAAGCUAGCCAUCAGUCAUACCCUGGUGCACCUUGCCUGCUGCUGGUUCUGCAGCUCUCUGCUGCUCUAGUCUGGCUGAUACAUACUCAGCCCACCCAGAAGUAAGGGUGAUGGAAGCAGUGAGCGAUUUAUCUGUCAGUCCAAAGAGAUGGUCCCUAAACAACACCUCAGAGGAAACUCAAAAGCUUUGAUGGUUUCUGUGAAGAUGUUCUGCUAGAACAUUCCUUCCCGCGCACAUCUUGAACUGGAACACUUUGUCUUUCCUAAGCAGGCUGCCUGGACAGGAGGGAUGCUGUGCCGCAUGACACUUUGGUAGGAUCUCUUCCCUACCCAUCCCACAUAGUUGCAGAGCUCUCACUAUACCACAAAGUAUUGUAUGUAUGAAAUGUGGAAAGAAUGCCUUUUAGAAAAGCAUGUAGCUCAAAGCAUGCAGACUUUACCAUCACAAUUGAUACCUGGAGUUUCAAAGAGGAAGGGCAGUGUUUUCAAAGAUGUGUUUUUUGAGGUUUGCUGCCUGGCCUCUGGCAUUUUGAGGCUGAUCCCAAGGACUGCACCUUACUGGCUGAGUGAGGCAUAUGGUCCCACAGCAGAGCGUGGCAUGUACAUGGUUAAAUAAACAGGUGUUUUGAGGCCUUGAAUUUGGGGCAGAGAUAUGAUAAGAACCUGCGUGGACUUAAGUCCUACUUUGGUCUCUUUGUAAGUCAUGGACUUUAUCAGGAAUGGUACGAUGUUAGUGCCUGAAGUCAGGAGAAGAAUGCAGAUGUGCUUUGAUAGGGCCUACAGUGGGAAAUAAGAAGCCCAACUGCAUGCAAAAAAAAAAAAAAGACCCCAUUGCAUGAGGAAAUCUCCACUUUGAAGGGUUUGCAUUUGAAAACUUAUAUUUUCUUCAGUGAACUCCCUGGAAGUGUGAAGGUAGUGAAAAUCCAUGGCUUAUGGCUUUUUCUACUGUCACCUAAAAGUUAGAGGAAGCAAAUUCCAUGUUAAAGCUUUAAGAUCUGUGCAAGCAAUACAAAAACAAAGUAGGUUAGUCUGCUCUGAAACAGCAUGCGACUUGUGGUGGUCUCCUGAGAAACACUUCCUAUUUCUGUUUGGAGAAUGUGUGGCUACACAGUGAUUGGGGGCCCAUCAGAAAAAGAUGGAGGGGAAAAAGGGGAAAUGAGUUCCUUCAAUUUCUUUAUAAGCUUCAGGAUUGUUCCUCAGUUUUCUGACAGAAGCCUGUUUUGAAUGUACAUCUGUGAGGGAUUUGUUAUAUAGAAUAGACAGGAGAUGCACUGUGUUUAUUUACCCAGAGAGAUGAAAUUCUCAAUUCCCGGUUGCGGGAUGUCCUCAGGCAUGCAGAAGAGGAGAGGGGGGGGAAAAAAGAGGGAGAGGCAAUUUCAUAAGCCAGGUGGUUUAACUCUGCUCUGAAAAGCUGGAUCCCAUCCUCCAUUAGUUCCUAAGUAAUACCAGACGAGUCGUGGAAUUAAACUGGAAGAAAAAUAGGAGUUUCUGAUUUCCCAGGUGCUCCUUUAAUACACUGAGGCUGGAUUUACAGAAGGGAUGAGUGUUCACAAAUGAAAUGUAAAUAUAAGAAGCUGUAUGGAGCAAGAAUCUCUGGAGGAAAAGAGAAGUGACAAGGCUCAAAUUUAUGAUUCCUUUUGACUGUGACACGUCUGGGCAUCAAACCCCAGUCUGCGGAGUGAGAUCUGAUUUCACUGGGGAUGACUGUGCUCACAGCAGUAUUUGUGAUGCGCUCAGACACUGCUGUAAUGACUGCAUUAAGAGUCCCUGAAGAAAUAAGUCAUCCUUUUUUUCAGUCUGACAACUUUACCAUAAAUAAAACACAAUUUAGAGUGGGGCUCUGCUGGACUGGGGUGGGUGAGUGUGGAACAAGCCUGAGUAUGUCUGUGCUGUACUCUGAGUGUGCCCAAAGACAAGACUGUGGUACCAAGCAGACAUGAUUAUGCCACUUUUGGGGAUGUUUAUGUAUGUUGGGGUGUGAUACUUCACCAAAUGAAUAAAUCCUUCCAGAACUGGUGUGGUGCAGAGACAUCUAAGCUGGCUCUGGAUACACAUAUAAAGG